AUGUAUAAGCCUAAACAGCAGAUUUUAAGGGGAAAUAACAAGCAAGUGUACUCAUAUUACUAUACUCAUAAGUCUAAAACAACAGAUUUCAAGGAAACUAGCACAGCACAGAGCAGCAGCCAGCAGCAAAGCACAGCAAGCAGCAGUAGCAGAGCUAGCAGCCUAGCAGUAGCAACACCACGAAUAGACAGCAGCAGCAAGCAGCACACCCACACGACCACAUUUCAGUGCUCCACUAGUCAACAGAGCAGCAUAUUAACAAGGGGAAGAGGGAGCACGAGAAGAAGAACCCAAGCAAGAGAACAGCUCGCAGUGGGGGUCCUUCACUAG
RNAcentral lists this ribosomal RNA (330 nucleotides) under Triticum aestivum (bread wheat). RNAcentral's name for it is "partial small subunit ribosomal RNA". The record is from RNAcentral. Lineage: Eukaryota; Viridiplantae; Streptophyta; Magnoliopsida; Poales; Poaceae.